This 77-nucleotide transfer RNA is filed under the name Flavobacteriaceae bacterium CG2_30_34_30. Its description in RNAcentral is "tRNA-Pro". It matches the Rfam family "tRNA". Rfam says of the family: Transfer RNA (tRNA) molecules are approximately 80 nucleotides in length. Lineage: Bacteria; Pseudomonadati; Bacteroidota; Flavobacteriia; Flavobacteriales; Flavobacteriaceae. The record is from RNAcentral. RNAcentral also lists the same sequence under 3 other names.
CGGGAUGUAGCGCAGCCUGGUAGCGUACUCGUCUGGGGGGCGAGGGGUCGCAAGUUCAAAUCUUGUCAUCCCGACAA